CCAGAAAGUCCAGUCAAAAGACAUCUGUCUAGUGUCCAGUCAGAAGUACUGACCGGACACCAAAAGUCUGGUUACCACCUGUAAGGGUGCCGGAACAAGGGGGGGGAGCUGCCUGCAAACUCCACCAUCAGCCUGGCCCCUGCCAGCCUGGCCGGGAGCGUGGGGACUGAGAAGGGCCAGAGCGGAGGACAGAGCAGUGCAUGGGGAGGGCGCUGGGUUAUCAACCCGUGCCAGCCCCUUUUCAGCCAGGGCGUCUCCUACCUGCAUCUUGUGGGCAGGUAGGCUCCACAUCAGUUCUCAGCCUGGCUCUGCAGCCAGCAGACAGUUUACUACAAACUUCAAUCAACUGCUUAAUGGCUAAUUACCUUAUGCUGGUGAAUGUAACUAGUAACCUAUGUAUAUAUAAGAAAUAGGUGAUUCAACUUCAAAACCACAAUGCUUCACCCAAGGAACACCUGCUGUCAAGAGGAUGUCAAUAGCCUGCUAGAGAACUAUAAAAAGGACUCUUGGGCCCUGCUCCUGUUGUCUCAGAUCUGCUUAAGCUUCAUCAGGGGAAGUUUGAGUCACAAGACUGAGGUCUCCAGUUCCAUUCUGGAUUGCCCUGAUAUUGGUCAUUGGACUAUAACCUGAUGAACUGAUUCUGAAAAGGACUCUUUGCAACUUCAAAGCUCACCAUCUCUACUAUGCAAAUGACCUAAGAACUUUUAUUCAUAUCUGUAUGUAUAAUCUUUUAACCAUUCUCUCCUCCUUUUUAGUAAAUCUUAGUUCACUUAAUAA
This is a long non-coding RNA of Chelonia mydas (Green sea turtle), 777 nucleotides long. RefSeq lists it as uncharacterized. The transcript is spliced from 2 exons. The record is from RefSeq and is a predicted model, not a curated record. Lineage: Eukaryota; Metazoa; Chordata; Testudines; Cheloniidae.